GCCAGGUGUGAUGGCUCAUGCCUGUAAUCCCAACACUAGGAGGCUGAGGCAGGUGGAUCACCUGAGGUCAGGAGUUCGAGACCAGCCUGGCCAACAUGGUGAAACCCUGUCUCUA
This 115-nucleotide signal recognition particle RNA is filed under the name Nomascus leucogenys (northern white-cheeked gibbon). Its description in RNAcentral is "Metazoan signal recognition particle RNA". It matches the Rfam family "Metazoan signal recognition particle RNA". From Rfam's summary of the family: The signal recognition particle (SRP) is a universally conserved ribonucleoprotein. It is involved in the co-translational targeting of proteins to membranes. The record is from Rfam by way of RNAcentral. Lineage: Eukaryota; Metazoa; Chordata; Mammalia; Primates; Hylobatidae.